RNAcentral lists this ribosomal RNA (504 nucleotides) under uncultured Glomus. Its description in RNAcentral is "SSU rRNA". It matches the Rfam family "Eukaryotic small subunit ribosomal RNA", at positions 569 to 1077 of the family's 1831-position model. Lineage: Eukaryota; Fungi; Glomeromycota; Glomeromycetes; Glomerales; Glomeraceae. The record is from RNAcentral.
AGCAGCCGCGGUAAUUCCAGCUCCAAUAGCGUAUAUUAAAGUUGUUGCAGUUAAAAAGCUCGUAGUUGAAUUUCGGGGUCAGCAAGUUGGUCGUGCCACUGGUAUGCACUGGCUUUGCUGAUUCCUCCUUCUUGAAGAACUGUAAUGCUAUUAAUUUAGUGUUGCAGGGAAACAGGACUGUUACUUUGAAAAAAUUAGAGUGUUUAAAGCAGGCUAACGCUUGAAUACAUUAGCAUGGAAUAAUGAAAUAGGACGUUUGAUCCUAUUUUGUUGGUUUCUAGGAUUGACGUAAUGAUUAAUAGGGAUAGUUGGGGGCAUUAGUAUUCAAUUGUCAGAGGUGAAAUUCUUGGAUUUAUUGAAGACUGACUACUGCGAAAGCAUUUGCCAAGGAUGUUUUCAUUAAUCAAGAACGAAAGUUAGGGGAUCGAAGACGAUCAGAUACCGUCGUAGUCUUAACCAUAAACUAUGCCGACUAGGGAUCGGAUGAUGUAAUUUUUAUGAUUC